This 4371-nucleotide long non-coding RNA is filed under the name Mus musculus (house mouse). RNAcentral's name for it is "long non-coding RNA chr11:97041587-97045958". The record is from RNAcentral. Lineage: Eukaryota; Metazoa; Chordata; Mammalia; Rodentia; Muridae.
ACUUCCUGUAGCGAUGGCUGCGGCGGUGGCCGGGAUCCUCCGUGGAGGUCUCCCGCCCCGGGCGGGUAAGGAGUGGCCCAGGGCCUCCCUGCACGCAGGAUGGCGCUCUCUAGCCCUCGCCACCCUCCUUUCCUUCUGACCUUUCCCGUAAUCUCUGACCGUCGACAGCUCUAGGAGACCCUGCCACUAGCCGGAUCUCUGAUUUGACUGGGUCAUUACCUGCCGGUGACAUCCCUUCCACAGCCCCUCCCCCCAAGCCGGGAAUCACAGGACCUCGCUUUGGAUUUUUCUAACCCUUCGCUCAGUUCUUACUCCUGGUCCCGGAGAGUCCUUUCCAGAAAAUUUAUGUAUUCCUUCUUAAGGUCUUAGCCCAAACACAGAUUCAAGUCUUCUCUCAACUACCCUCUCUCCAUAAAGAGCAGGUUCUUUGGUGAAAUUUACUUUUAUCAAUUCAGUCUAGUUUUGUUUAUGCACGUGUCUCGUCUGAUCUGUUAAACUUCACUGUGUCCAUCUCAGCUGUGGUGUCUGCUGUUAAUAGGCAUCAGGCAUUUAAUGGGUAAAUUUGACACCAUACUGUAGGAUUGUACUCAUUGCUUCAAAGCAAAGGCACCUUGGGAGGAAGGCAUUAUUUUUAUUUUUUAAAGAAGUAUUUACUUUCUGUAAGUGAGUACACUGUUGCUGUCUUCAGACACAUCAGAAGAGGGCAUCAAAUCUCAUUACAGAUGGUUGUGAGCCACCAUGCGGUUGCUGGGAAUUGAACUCGGGACCUCUGGAAGAGCAGUCAGUGCUCUUAACCGCUGAGCCAUCUCUCCAGCCCCAUCUCAUCCCAAAGGCACUCGUAACAGCUCUUGUGGCCCUUAACCAUAAAACCUCUCACCCUGGCAAUCCUCUAUAUUACCUGGAGUCUUCUAGCUGAUCUUUUCCCUACAAAACGACGCUAUUGGUCUUUAUGUUAGGGUUGAAAGAGUCACGUUGGCUCAGAGCUUUGAAGAAUGUCCUUGGGUGCAGAGGGGACCUUCCAAGCUUUUCCUAUUAUCAUCAUUUUGUGCUAUUGGGCACAAAAAGGUCAGAAGGCAGCUUGCGUGCCUCUUUUUCUUUUCUCCAUCAUAGGGGGAUUCCAAGGGUUGUGUUUAGGUUGUCAGAGUUGGUGGGAAGUGCAUUUAUUGCACUGGAUUAGUCGUCUCGCAGGCCUUAGUUUUGCAGUUUGAGUCAGGGUCUCAUUAGUGAGGCUGAUCUUGAACUCGGAUUUCAGGUAUUCACCAUCUGACCUGAAGAAAGACUCCUUUGGGCGAAUUGUGAGGUUGUUGUGUUUUUACCCCCUACUUGCUUCAAGUCAUAGGAGCCUCAGAGCCGUGGGAUGAAGCCAUCAUUAGCACGGGAAGAGUUUAUUAAAAUACAACUUUUUGGACCCCACCACCGAGUUUCAAAUUUUAUAGGUUUAGGGCAGGCAGGAAAGUAUGUGCACUCCCACACAAAGCAGAUGUUGGUGUCUUGAUGGAGGUCUUUGUGCUUCAAGAACUGCUGCUUUGAGUGAGGACUGGCAUGGUUGGUCAUGGUGGUGUUCUUUCAUUUGCUCUGUUUUUCUUGCUUGCUAGGGAUGGAACCUCGGGCUGGGCAGGUAGACCAGUUCUGUACCUCUGAGUUGCAGUCCCAGCCCGGAUGACUGUUUUAUGAAUAGUUUUACUGGAGCACGGUCUCUUUGCUUUACAUAUUGUUUGUGGCUGCACUGGUUUCUGGUUGGUUAGUUGAUUUUUUAUGUCUUAGUACCCCCAGCCAGCCUGAGCCUGGAACUGAGAGAUGCCUCUAUCGCCGAAGCCCUACGAGUGAAGAUGUGCACUGCCAUGCCCAGCUUGUUUCUUCAUUUUAAAGAAUACUAUCCCACAGUGUAGCACUGACUGGCAUAGAACUCAAUGUGUAGACUACUCUGGCCUUAAACGUGGGGCAGCCCUCCUGUUUUCUGAGUGCUAAUUUAUAUGCAUGUUCCACCAUACCUAGGAUAUUAUUAUUACUAAUUUAUUUUGUGUGUUUUGAUUGCACAUAUAAGGUAUAUUACAUUUCUGCCUGGUGCCUGCAAGUGUCAAAAGAGGGCUUUAGCUCCUCUGGAACUGAAGUGACAGACAGGUGGAUGUGAGUCAUCAUGUGGGUGCUGAGAAGUGAACCCAGGUUCUCUGUCAGUCAAAAAGUGCACUUAACCACAGAGCCAUCUCUCCAGCUCCAGCCACGUCCAGGCUUUUAUGGCUGCUUUUAGCAGGGUUGACUGACAAACUAUAUGAACCCCCAAACUUAAAAUAUUUAUUAUUUGGCCAUUUAAGGAAAGCGUUUUCUCAAUCAUCUCCUCAUAUGCUUUGAUUAUUAAUUUAGGCUCUGCUUUGCUUUUUGAGGUGGUCUUGUACCUGGGACUGUUGUCUUACUAAUGGCAAUUCUGCCUUAGCCUCCUGAGUGAAUUACAGUGUGCAUGCUAGUCCUGGUUCUCCAUCUCCCUUGUACUUUUAAAAUACUUCAUCUUGUAAAAAAAAACUUUUAAAAUUCUAGGGCUGUACACAAGGAGGACCUGUGGAGGAGGACUGGAUCUGUGGUCCACUUGGUAAAGUGCUUGCCAGCGCGCAUGGGGCCCUGGAUUUACCCCAGCAGGCUUAAAGCAGGCAUGGUGACAUAGACCUGCAGUCCUAAAGGCAGCACACGGGUGGAGUGGGCAGUGAGUUCAAGCCAGCCUGGGCUGUAUGAGAUCCUGUCUAAAGACAAACAAAAAGCAACAGUAACAAAAACCUAGAGAGAGGAUUGAGCCUCUGCUAAGGUCACCCACUAAGAGGAGAAGAGAAUUUUUUUGUGCCAUGCCUAACUCUGUGAACCGUGCCUUUCUCUGUGGAGGUGGAGGUGUCGGUUGAAGACAAGCGAGGUCCUCCAAGGGGCUGUGUCUUAUGUUGCCAUCUCCCCUUGUAGCUUGGCUGCCCACCCUCCAGACUGUGCGCCAUGGCUCCAAGGCUGUGACCCGCCACUGGCGAGUCAUGCACUUCCAGCGGCAGAAGCUGAUGGCUAUAACUGAGUAUAUUCCUCCCAAACCUGCCAUCAACCCGAGAUGCCUGCCACCUCCUCCCAAGCCCCCCAAGGAGGUAAGGGGCUCAGUGCGUGUUACUUGGUGGUGGGCUCAUGAAGCUGGACUCCAGCCCUGUGGCUACUCAGAUCAACAGUUCACUUUCUGAGAGACAGAGUGUGUGUGAGAAUGUAUGUACACACUUGCCACCGCUCAUGGCAGAGGGCAGCUUUCAGGAUUCAGGUCUCUCCUAAUACCUCGUAAAGUCUCCUGUUUCUGCCAUGCUGCAUGCUCCACACUGGCGCACGGCUUCUGGUGAGUUCUCCUGUCUCACCACAGGAGCUGUGACUACAGAUGUGUGAAAGCACACCAGACUUCCUUACGUGAGUCCAGGGGGUGGAUAUCAGAUUGUCAGGCUCCUACAGCGGGCACUCUGAGUCUCUGAGUCUCACCCACCCUAGAUCCUUUAUAGUAGAAUACACACUUGGUUCUGCGUUGAUGUCACGCUCUGCAUUUUCUGUAGUUUUUUCUUGUCUCCAAAAAAAGCAUCUGGAAGCUUUACAAGUUAGUGGGCGGGAUUCCACUCCUGCUUUUUUUUUUUUUUGAGACAGGGAGUUGUAAGACCUUCUCAAUUCCUUCAUGCUCUUCUCGAUUCCUGGUUUUUCAAGACAGGGUUUCUCUGUAUAGCCCUGGCUGUCCUGGAACUCACUCGAACUCAGAAAUCCACCCGCCUCUGCCUCCCAAGUGCUGGGAUUAAAGGCGUGCACCAUCACGCCCAGCUUUUUCCCGUUUUAAAGGAGCCGAAGCUUCCCCAUUUUCCCUGAGCCGUGGAUGAUAGAAGUUUCUGUCUUUUGAAAGGAACAGGAAGAAGCUAGGUGUGGUGUCACAAGCCUAUAAUAUUAGUGUUUAGGAGGUGGAAGCUGGAGGCAGGGUGAAGCAGUUGUUCAGGGUCAUCCUUGGCUAUAUAGGGAAUUCCGUAUUUGACAAGUUGUUUUGAAGAAAAAACAAAAAACUGGGCAGAGCAGCACACACCUAUAAUUCUAGCACUCAGAAGGCUGAAGCAAGAAGAUUGCUUAUGCGUUCCAGGCUAGACUUGUCUACCUAAUUAGUUCCAGAUCAUCUAGGACUAAAAGGAGACCCUGUCUCAAAAAAUAAAUAAGGCGAGGGCCUGGAGAAAUAGCUCAGCAGUUACUUGUUCUUCCAGAGGACCCAGGUUGGACCUUAAACACCCACAUGUCAGCUCAUGACUAUCUGUAAUGCCCUCUUCUGGCCUUCUAGGUCACCGCAUACAAAGGGUACACACAUGCACGCUAGCAAAUACUCAUACACAUAAUACACUG